Molecule: ribosomal RNA, 1145 nt
Filed under: uncultured fungus
Lineage: Eukaryota; Fungi
Description: eukaryotic LSU rRNA
Rfam family: Eukaryotic large subunit ribosomal RNA (bases 513-1145)
Source: RNAcentral
AGUCGUAACAAGGUUUCCGUAGGUGAACCUGCGGAAGGAUCAUUAAAAAUAAAAAGGAACGGGUUGGCCCGCCUGGCCACCCGCAUCUUAAACCCUAUGUACGAUGAAACCCUGUUGCCUUGGCGGGCUGUCGUCCGCCGGAGGAACAUCAAACUCCUGUUAAACACGUGCCGUCUGAGCUUUAAAGCAACAAGUUAAAACUUUCAACAACGGAUCUCUUGGUUCUCGCAUCGAUGAAGAACGCAGCGAAAUGCGAUAAGUAAUGUGAAUUGCAGAAUUCAGUGAAUCAUCGAAUCUUUGAACGCACAUUGCGCCCUUUGGUAUUCCGAGGGGCAUGCCUUUUCGAGCGUCAUUACGACCAUCAAGCCACGCUUGGUAUUGGGCCUUCGCCCCCGUGCGGGCGGGCCUUAAAGUAAUCGGCGGCCGAGCAACCGGCUUCGAGCGUAGUANUANUUUCUCGNCUCGGAGGUCGGACUUGGCCCGCCGCCAACCUGAAUUAUCUUCUUCAAGGUUGACCUCGGAUAAGGUAGGGAUACCCGCUGAACUUAAGCAUAUCAAUAAGCGGAGGAAAAGAAACCAACAGGGAUUGCCUCAGUAACGGCGAGUGAAGCGGCAACAGCUCAAAUUUGAAAUCUGGUCUCCUCGAGGCCCGAGUUGUAAUUUGAAGAGGAUGCUUCGGCUGCGGCCCUGGUCUAAGUUCCUUGGAACAGGACGUCACAGAGGGUGAGAACCCCGUACGUGGCCGGGUGCCAACGCCGUGUGAAGCUCCUUCAACGAGUCGAGUUGUUUGGGAAUGCAGCUCUAAAUGGGAGGUAUAUUUCUUCUAAAGCUAAAUACCGGCGAGAGACCGAUAGCGCACAAGUAGAGUGAUCGAAAGAUGAAAAGCACUUUGGAAAGAGAGUUAAAAAGUACGUGAAAUUGUUGAAAGGGAAGCGCUUGCAACCAGACUUGGGCGUAGUUGCUUAGCCGGGCUUCUGCCCGGUGCACUCUUCUGCGCCCAGGCCAGCAUCGGUUCGGGCGGCCGGACAAAGGCUGUGGGAAUGUAGCUCCUCUCGGGGAGUGUUAUAGCCCACGGCGGAAUGCGGCCAGCCCGGACUGAGGUCCGCGCUCCGGCUAGGAUGCUGGCGUAAUGGUUGUAAGCGGCC